ACGGAAGGCAGCAGUGAGGAAUAUUGGUCAAUGGGCGGAAGCCUGAACCAGCCAUCUCGCGUGCAGGACUACGGCCCUACGGGUCUUAAACUGCUUUUAUGGGGGGGUAAAGUCGGGCAUUCGUGCCCGUUUGUAGGUACCCCAUGAAUAAGGAUCGGCUAACUCCGUGCCAGCAGCCGCGGUAAUACGGAGGAUCCGAGCGUUAUCCGGAUUUAUUGGGUUUAAAGGGUGCGCAGGCGGCCCGUUAAGUCAGCGGUGAAAUGUCGGGGCUCAACCCGGGCACUGCCGUUGAAACUGGGGGGCUUGAGUACGGAUGAGGUCGGCGGAAUGUGACGUGUAGCGGUGAAAUGCAUAGAUAUGUCACAGAACACCGAUUGCGAAGGCAGCCGGCCAAUCCGCAACUGACGCUCAUGCACGAAAGCGUGGGGAUCGAACAGGAUUAGAUACCCUGGUA
RNAcentral lists this ribosomal RNA (454 nucleotides) under uncultured Parabacteroides sp. Its description in RNAcentral is "partial 16S ribosomal RNA". It matches the Rfam family "Bacterial small subunit ribosomal RNA", at positions 341 to 792 of the family's 1533-position model. Lineage: Bacteria; Pseudomonadati; Bacteroidota; Bacteroidia; Bacteroidales; Tannerellaceae. The record is from RNAcentral.